UACGUAGGGCGCAAGCGUUAAUCGGAAUUACUGGGCGUAAAGCGUGCGCAGGCGGUUUGCUAAGAGAGAUGUGAAAUCCCCGAGCUUAACUUGGGAACUGCGCUUGUAACUGGCAAGCUAGAGUGUGGCAGAGGGGGGUGGAAUUCCACGUGUAGCAGUGAAAUGCGUAGAGAUGUGGAGGAACACCGAUGGCGAAGGCAGCCCCCUGGGCUAACACUGACGCUCAUGCACGAAAGCGUGGGGAGCAAACAGG
RNAcentral lists this ribosomal RNA (253 nucleotides) under uncultured bacterium. RNAcentral describes it as "partial 16S ribosomal RNA". It matches the Rfam family "Bacterial small subunit ribosomal RNA", at positions 524 to 776 of the family's 1533-position model. The record is from RNAcentral.